GGGAGUCACACCUGCACGACCCUUCCUGCAUCCUGCGGUCCUGCCACGCCCCACCUCACCGAGCGUCUCCGGCCACCCCCUGCCGCCGAGCGUCGCCCCCGCGCCUCUGCCUCACCUAGCGCCCGAUCCAGCCGUCGUUCAUCGCCAGCACACGUGGAUCCGGCCGCCCCUCGCCUUCCCCAUCGGCUGCACCUCCUAGCGCCACCGCCCCUGCCAUACUCCGCCGCUGGAGGAUCUCCGCCCUGCCUGGAUCCACAUCCCCGCGGCGACACCGGCAGUCGGCGACGAUGGACGACCACGGUGUAGUGCCCUUGGUCCUCGCCGUCCCCUUGCCUGUAUGUAUAUCUCUGUCAGAUCGAUCACUAUUUUGAUAGGAAUCCACUUCCCGGUGAUAGUUCGUUCCUUCCUGUACCUCAUUCAUGUGUGCAGAUAUGCAAGUAAAAGCGACCAUGGUUCAGGCAUCUGUUGGUUAUUGAAAAAUCUGACAACCGCAAGAGAAUAAGAGCUGCAGACUCAGAGUGUAUGUGAUAUCCCUGCCAGAUUGCUACAGCAUAUUCAUGCAGGUACCCUUCUUGCUGCCUUUUGCACAGUAGCAGGCAAUGCAAUCACAGGCUUGUAAUGCUCUGUUUCUACCGUGUCUUCACUUUCAUCUCAGUGGAGAUUGAAAAUCGAAACCAUGUUAUUCAUGUAGUUACUGAAGUUUCAAAUCCCUCCCUUAGUCAUCAUGUCUGUUUGUAUCCACAAGGGAGCAUGCUCCCGCCAGAUGGUCUCCAUGGCACUGCAUAAAUUUUAUAUUGGAAUGAUGUGUUGGUCAAUUCAUAGAUGGUUUGUGAUAUAAUCAUAUAAAGAUUCUCGCGUUACUUUUCUAGCUCUAUGCUCUCUUUUGUACAGGGGGUCAAUGUUUCUCAGCCUAAUGUUAUUCUUAUCAUUAUGUAUGCUCUAUGAUACAGGUGUUGAGGCAGGGAAAAGGCAGCAGUAGAGGCAUGGGCACUUCAGAAAAGGGUGUUGACUGUUCUGAUUGAGGCCAGGCAUGAAAUCUCUUAUUUCAUUGUUUGUUCUUUGUUGAAGUUGUACUUAUUUUGCAUAGUAUUUCAGGCAAUGUUUAGACUUUAGGUAACACAUGUCCCUAGAUUACAUAGUAUGCAUGCCCUCUGUUACCUGCUGAAUGUCUCUGGGGUAACUAAAAAUGUUCAGAAUAAUCUAAAUUUCAGAAAUUCUUCGUGGAUUAUGAUUGGCAGUUAUAUGCCACCAAAUAGCAAGACUGCUACUUGAACAGUUUGUUAUCCAUGAAGCUUAGGCGUGUACACGGACUAAAUUUGCUAUAAUUUUCCACCAUUUUUUCCUAAGGCCAUCAGAGCCAUUGGCACAGUUUGGCUGCCCUAAGGGAGUACUUUUACCCUUUUUAGUCAAUCAUACACCAGUCACCACAAGUGCAAAUAAUAAUAAAGCACGGAUUGACUCCGUGGGUUCACCGUCACAAUACGCUUCUUCUCGUGAAUUUACGCUUUUAGUUUUUUUAUAAGAUAAUAAAAAGGUUCUCACUUCUAACUAAACAUUUUGUUAAUUUCCAGUUGAAGGCUUCCACGUGCCACCUCCUUCGCCUCCUACGCCGCGUCGAGAAAGGCGGACACGUGCGGUAGGAGCCAAGGGGGAACAGGGAAAGGCGGACACGAGAUUCGUGAACCCAGAGAAGAGAAUGUAUGCGAGCUUGUCCACCUCGGCGGUGUCAGCCGCCAGUGCCACCGUGUCCCGCCUCCGCCUGGCCUGGUCGCAACAAAAGUAUGACUGCAGGUGUGGUUCAUUCAGUUUUGAAGUUUGAUUUACUUGCUUGUGCAUGUGUGUGUGUAUUCUAAGAGAGAGGGAGAGAUUAUUCUGUUCUAGCCAGUCGUAUUUCUGGACAAAUCUGCUCCCCUCCACUCCUUUUUUAUUUGCCUUAAAUCUGAACAUGAAAAGCAGUUACAAAUUGAGAGCAACAGAGUAAACGUUCAAAAGUUCAGAGCGGGUGCAUGCUUUUGAGAUUCAAAGGAUGUGUAAGCUGGAAGAUGGGUUGCCAUGCUUUGUAAGUACGAUUAGUUGGAGUACUAUUCCAUCCAAUGGCAGUGCAAAGUCGAAGUAGGCGCUGACGAAGGACGUUAGGGUCUGUUCUUCACAUCAACACUUCAUUGUCCAAAC
RNAcentral lists this long non-coding RNA (2172 nucleotides) under Triticum aestivum (bread wheat). RNAcentral's name for it is "long non-coding RNA (TAES_LNC022321)". The record is from RNAcentral. Lineage: Eukaryota; Viridiplantae; Streptophyta; Magnoliopsida; Poales; Poaceae.